CCUACGGGAGGCAGCAGUGGGGGAUAUUGCACAAUGGGGGGAACCCUGAUGCAGCGACGCCGCGUGGGUGAAGGAGCGUUUCGGCGCGUAAAGCCCUAUCGGCAGGGAAGAAGAUGACGGUACCUGGCCAAGAAGCCCCGGCUAACUACGUGCCAGCAGCCGCGGUAAUACGUAGGGGGCCAGCGUUAUCCGGAGUUAUUGGGUGUAAAGGGGGCGCAGACGGCAAUGCAAGCCAGGAGUGAAAGCCCGGGGCCCAACCCCGGGACUGCUCUUGAAACUGCAUGGCUGGAGUACAGGAGGGGCAGGCGGAAUUCGUGGUGUAGCGGUGAAAUGCGUAGAUAUUAGGAGGAACACCGGUGGCGAAGGCAGCCUGCUGGACUGUGACUGACGUUGAGGCCCGAAGGCGUGGGGAGCAAACAGGAUUAGAUACCCCGGUAGUC
This 440-nucleotide ribosomal RNA is filed under the name uncultured bacterium. RNAcentral's name for it is "partial 16S ribosomal RNA". It matches the Rfam family "Bacterial small subunit ribosomal RNA", at positions 338 to 795 of the family's 1533-position model. The record is from RNAcentral.